AGUCUCUCUUUCCCCACAUAAUUUCGAGAAAAAAAGUGGUAUAAACAAUGGUCAAAAUGGAGUCAUCUCCAGUGACAAUCUUCGUCACCUUCUACGCCGGAUCCUGUAGGAGAACAAGUCUGAUGAGUCGCUUCUUGUCCGGCAACAAAGAGAGAAUAGUAACAUGGAUGCUUCAAGUCCAAUUGAUUAGCAUCGCUGACAUUUGCUUUGAUUGGCUGCAUACUGCUCCAAUUUUCUGCCAUAGUAACAUUCAUGAGUAUACAUAAUGAUAUAAUAUAUAUACUUUUCUAUUUCCUGCCUUUGUUUUUGUUAGAAGAGUGAUCCUCUUGAAACGAUAUAUUUAGUCGCACUUCUGAUCUAUAAGCAAUAUUUUUUUAGUGCAAAAUGAGAACUUGUGGCUACAUUGAUGAAUUUGGUUGAACUGUUAAUGAAUGUUUGUUGAUUAAUGUAUAGCAGUUGUUCAGGGAUGGGAAGUAGAAAAGGGACUUGGAAAGGAAAAGCAAGGCGUCAUAGACCAGGACAUAUCAAUGUGAAGAACAACCCUCUUAUUUCUUUAAUAUCAUGAUAAUUAAAAUUGAUUGAUAUUGUGCAAUUUUUCAUUUAUUAAAUAAUCGAUGAUUUUGAUUUGGUGCCUACAGGCUACAGGUGUGUGACAGAUACUAAUUGCAGGGGC
RNAcentral lists this long non-coding RNA (673 nucleotides) under Salvia miltiorrhiza (redroot sage). Its description in RNAcentral is "long non-coding RNA (SMIL_LNC007878)". Lineage: Eukaryota; Viridiplantae; Streptophyta; Magnoliopsida; Lamiales; Lamiaceae. The record is from RNAcentral.